CAGUCGCCACGGUAAUACGUAGGUGGCAAGCGUUGUCCGGAAUUAUUGGGCGUAAAGGGCUCGCAGGCGGUUUCUUAAGUCUGAUGUGAAAGCCCCCGGCUCAACCGGGGAGGGUCAUUAGAAACUGGGAAACUUGAGUGCAGAAGAGGAGAGUGGAAUUCCACGUGUAGCGGUGAAAUGCGUAGAGAUGUGGAGGAACACCAGUGGCGAAGGCGACUCUCUGGUCUGUAACUGACGCUGAGGAGCGAAAGCGUGGGGAGCGAACAGGAUUAGAUACCCCUGUAGUCCCUGUCUCUUAUAC
This 301-nucleotide ribosomal RNA is filed under the name uncultured bacterium. RNAcentral describes it as "partial 16S ribosomal RNA". It matches the Rfam family "Bacterial small subunit ribosomal RNA", at positions 509 to 807 of the family's 1533-position model. The record is from RNAcentral.